GGCUUGAUGGUCUAGUGGUAUGAUUCGCGCUUAGGGUUCACCCUAGGUUUAAUAUGCGCGAGGUCCCGGGUUCGACUCCCGGUUAAGCCC
Molecule: non-coding RNA, 90 nt
Organism: Pseudovirgaria hyperparasitica
Lineage: Eukaryota; Fungi; Ascomycota; Dothideomycetes; Acrospermales; Acrospermaceae
Source: the annotation of a RefSeq genome assembly